GGAUCUGAAAAAAGUGACAAACCUGUGGGUAGGUUUGGAAAAUAGUAAUUUUUUGAUGGUCUAGUGUCAUGUCGAAGUUCGCUUUCAUUUCUCAGGACGGACUGGCGAUACGCUGCACAUACAGACACAACCUUCGAUCCACUAGCACCUUCGGACUCUGCAUAUGAAGUUGAGGCAACUGGCCCUGUUUCAGGAUGAACAAGACCUGCAACUAGAACAAUGAUGAAUGAUGAAUUAGAGAUCACUAAUGGCAUUUUCCCCACUAGGAAUACAGUCUGUGAAAAGGGCUAUUCGGACGGGAACAGAUUUAUAAGGGAUAAUCCCGUGCGAACUGGUCAUGCCGGAUAUUUUUCCGGACUGCGCUUUCCCAUGCCCGUGAAGAUUACAGCAUCUUUUACAUUUUAUAAAACGGCCUUUAAAAAUAACCCCAGGUUAAACUAAUCACGUGCGAAUGCGCACUCUAUUUUUUUAGGUAGUCGAUUCAUUCUCGGCAUUUAAGUCCUGUCGCCAAACGGCACUUUGACAGAGGGACCUUUAUCGCAAACUUUUUCGAAAAAUCUCCUCCCAAACAGAAUGAUUACAUAUCAUUUGUUCAAACAGCGUUUCAUAAUGUCGUUCUCCCCAAACUGAAACUAAACAAAGUUUCAGCUCUCGUCCAAAUGCGUCGUUUCUUUUGCUUCAUCAGUGCCGUGAUGCUGUAUUACCAAAUACUGAGGUGCAGCACCAUGUUACGCAUGACACACGGGGCUGAUGUGAUGGGCAGGCAGCAUAAACGAUGAAGCCACACCCAUCUCUGCAAUUUCUACAGAAAUCUCUCAUGCCAUGCGAAUUGACAAUAAAUAUCACAGGUGUCCAUAGUAGCAAUUACUUUGCAGCCAUAUGUCUGGAAAACUAAUCCCCUCCAAAUAGGGCUAAAGAAAGCAUGUCUGUCUAUGCCACAAAGCAUAAUUUAAAUGGUAAAUAUAACAAUUCUUAGUAUAGUUAUAUUAGCACAAUAUCAAGUUUAAGUGGCUUUAUUGCCAUUUCAACCAUAUACAGUUGGUACAGAACAGUGCUACAUAAACAACACAGAGCUACAGGACACUACACAGAACUAAAUGUGUGCGCGCGCAUGCGUGCAUGGGUGUCUGGGUCAGUGUCAGUCUCUAGGUAUUGAGGAGUCUGACUGCUUGGGGGAAGAAACUGUUACACAAUUUGGCCGUGAGGGUCCAAAUGUUUCGGUACCUUUUGCCUCAUGGCAGGAAGGAGAAGAGUUUGUGUGAGGGGUGUGGGGUCAGUUCUUUAGCCACGGCACCUCCUCUCUGUAUGCUGACUUGUCACUGCUCAUGAGACCCACCACAGCACAGUCUGUUGAGAGCUUGGGACGACAUGCGAACUGCGGGGGCUCCAGUGAGGGGGUAGCAGGGUCUUGAUGUGCCACAUGACAAGCCACUCCAAGCACUUCAUGACGAUGAAUGCAAGGAUAGCUGUUAAGGUAGGACGCUGAAGACUUCAACACGGGGGGGCGAUGAUGGAGGCCUUGAAGCACAUUGGAAUGACAGCGCUGCUCAGGGAAAUGUUGAAGAGGUCAGUGAGAACAUCUACCAUCCAGCGGGUCUGAACAUCCCCUGAGCAUUCUGCCAGGAAUGUUGUAUAAACCAGCAGCCUUCUGUGGAUUGACUCUUCACGGUCAUCCACGACUUCUGGUUGGAGCGUGUGGUGAUGGUCUUGGAGACAGUGACGUCAUCGAUGCACCUGCUGAUGUAGCGGAUACAGCUUGUGUAUUCCACCAAGCUGGUGGAGCUGCCAUCAGUUGCUACCUCCCUGAACAUGUGUCAGUCAGUGUGCUCAAAACAGUCCGGAAGAGCAGAGAUGUCUCUUGCUGUCCAGGUUUUCAUCUGCUUCAGAACCAGUCUGGAGCGUCUAACGAGCGGUCUGUAUGCUGGGAUUAACAUAACAGAGAGGUGGUCUGAGUACCCGGGAGGGGGCGGGGCUCUGCCAGGUUUGUGUAAACAAAAUCCAGCGAGUUCGCGCUUCUCAUCGCAAAGUCCACAUCCUGAUGGAAGUCAGGGAGCGCUGAUUUGGAAUUUCACAUGACUGAAAUGUCCGGCGACAAUAAACAGUCCGUCAGGGUUUGUGUUCCGCAGUAAUAGCCCCCGACAGUUCACAAAGCGCCUCCUUAACAUUAGCGCUGGGGGGAAUGCACACUCCGACUAAACUUCACCAGCGAGGAGCAGUAACUAGAAACUAGCACUGAGUUCUUGCACCAUUCGGGGUUGAUGUAAACACACAAGCCACCAUCGCGAGCCUUACCGCACAAAGUUGCAUUGCUGUCGUCAUGAAACGAGGGGAGCCCGUUUAGCUUUAGCCUAACACGGACCCCCGCCCUCUUGCCACGCUUCUGCUUCCUCGCACAGCGCUUACGACGCCCUCUCCCCCGGACACCGGCAUCACAAGACCCCGAAGACUGGAGGCUUGGUUCCCGCAACAAGCCGAGCUCACGUAACUUCUCCAGCAGACCAUCAUGCAAUCUGGUCAUCGGAUGAUAUCUAUAGUUUAGCAGAAACUGGCGAUGGUAAACACGGACCAUGGUUGCCCCGAUAUCCAUGUGCCGUAUAAUACAAAGGAUUUGAAAUAUUAGAUCCGGUUUAGUAUACUACAGUUCCGGUUCACCGCGAGAUGUCUCCACUGGUGAGAGCUCGGCUUUUUUUUAAAUUCUUUUAUUUCUAGUAGUGCGUCCCAAAUCAACGGUUGCAGGUUUCCUUACGUAACGGAUGGGGAGGGGCUAUAUCAGGCUCAGAUACUGACAUUACCAGCAGCCAUAACCACAACCAAUUAUGUUGAUUUUAAAUUGGAGAAGAUAAGAUGAGAGAAACUUUAUUGAUCCCACACGGGGGAAAUUCCCUCGUUAGAGCAGCUCAAUUAAACACAACAGAUAAGAACACAACAAUUAAACACAACAGAUAUGAACACCUCAUUUUAUGUGCAAAAUUCGCCUGUGAAGACGACUCCGCCUGACUGUGACUGAGGUCUUGUUGGGCAUAAAAGGAAAACAUUAAUAUCAACAGUAAAAUGUAGCAAUUCAUUUUUUUUUAUCCGUUUGGCUAUUUCGCUAGUGCUAGCGGCAUUACAUGCGUUUGACAUAAUAGAGUGGUGCAGGGAUGACGUCAUUGUGUAACGCCAAAACGAGUUAGCAUUUGAACCUUUCCGCUUCCAUCGUCCAGAUGUCAAGGGGUUUUUCGCAUGGGAUUUUGGUUAAAAACCUGAAAUAAGGUCUGUGGUGAACACAAGCUCAAAAUAUUUUCACGUUUUAUUCUACCACAUAAAAUCCACGGGUAAUACCCCACUCAUGAUUUUUUAAAUGCUUUUACGUGUAUUGAAAAAGGCGGUUGAUAAGAUGCUAAAUGGAACUACAGACCCAUUCGGGGGCAUUAAACGUCAUCCCGGUGAACAGGAAAAUAUACUCACUAGUCUGCGUUUACAGCCUCGUGUUCUUGCAGUUAUUGGAUUUGUCAGUUUAUCAAUUUAUAGUAUUUUCAGAAUUGUAGUACAAUAAAUUCUAGAUUAACUAAUUAAUAAUUUUGUCCAGUUUCUAGUGUAGUUAGACAAUGGUUGAAUUUUUUUAAUCUACUUGUGCUAUUAUACUGCUGGUUCUCACAUUCAGGGUGUGGAUGACCAGGUGAAAAAUAGCGAAAACAAGGGGGGGGGGGAGCGACAAUGUAGGGGAAAAUAAACAACUAUUUGCUGAUGCUAACUUCAGGGUUCCGGUACAAUAUGACAUCAUCCCUGCAGCUAUUUGCCCUCGACCAAGAAACAGCACAUAUUUCUGGUUAGUACAAUACUGAAAGUGUGCCAUUUGAGAUGAUAUUACCCUUCUAAAAUUCAUACACUAGAUGGCAGAGUGUAUAGUGCAUAGUAUAAGUAUAUAGUAUGUCAUUUGGGACACAGUAAGUUUCUUUUUUGUAAAUGUCUCUUCCUUGAUCAUACAGUAUGAUCGCCAAACACUACUAGACAUCAGAUCAUCACUCAAAAUGGACUUUGAGAGUGAUUUGCAUGCAAAUAGGAGCAAAGACCUGGCUGCAGCCUGCAGAAAGGGGUGGGGUGGGGCUGCAUGUGUCACUCCACCCAUAAGAGUUAGGGGUUAUGGUUAGAAUGGGGAGCCCCACUCCGUUCUACAGGCUGGAGCCAGGACCUUCUCGAUUUUCCUGAAUGCAGCAGACAUUAAUGAAUACAAAAACUCUGUCACCAAUUACACACCAGUAUGUGCACUGAAAAGAUUGUUCCAAAAGUCUGUAUCAAAUCAUUCCUGAACCAGAAACUCCGGGUUAAUGCUGAUUUCUGGGCCAAACUUAGAGGUCAAACCUCAGCCUACAACUCAGGGACCUGUUGUCAUACAGGAAAGCCGGAUACAACCGACAGAGGAUCAUCAGGACUGCAAAGAAUGGCUACAGAGACAAGAUUGUGUUGAACUAUCAAAGAUCAGACCUCAAGCACAUGUAGAAUGGUUUGUGCUCCAUUACAGACUACAAAGGUUGGAAAAUCUGCAAUGGGGACUAUCUGCCUCACUACCUGAUGAGCAGAACACCUUCUAUGCUCAGUUUAAGGCCAGCAACACCUUCCAUGCAGAAAAACUCCCGGUGAACUGCAACAGCUGCGCACUAACCAUCACUGUGCCUUAUGUGAUCAGAUCUUUCAAGACGGCCAAUACAAGCAAAGCACCAAAUCUGGUGUCCUCAAAUCAUGUGCCAGCCACCUGCGGAGACUCAGGAAGUUUAAUUUCUCCGAAAAUCCUGACCAUUUUCUACAAAUACCCCAUAGAGAGCAUCCUGACUGGGUGCAUGAAUGUUUGGUUUGGCAGCUGCCCCCUGCGUGAAUGCAAGGCCCUCCGAAGAGUGGUGAGAGCAGCUGAACUCAUUAUUGGCAACAGACUCCCAGCCUUACAAGACAUCUUCCAUACAUGAUGUCUGAGGAAAGCACACUAAAUCACCACAGACCGCAAUCACCCAGCACACAGACUGUUUAACGGACUGAAAUCAGGCAGAUGGUACUGCAACAUUCAAUCCACAACUAGCAGGCUGAAGAACAGUUUCUACCUGCAGGCCAUCAGCUACUUCACCACAGAAACAAAAUCCUGCACACACAGGGCGAGGAGAAGAGGACAACAUAGAUGGAGACAAACUAAGUGAAGAGAGAGAGAGAAUGUAUGUAUGUGUCCUACCAUUUGGAGGUUCUUCAUGUUCCAUGUGAUGAGUAAGGUUGACAGGAGUUGGAAGGGUAGAUGAAUAUGGAGGAGCAACAUCGGUUAGGUCCUGGCAGUCUGAUGCAGGUUGAGGUGAUAUGGGUUCGCACACAGGAGGUGCAGGAUAUGAAUAUGGAGGAGCAACAUCGGUUAUGUCCUGGCAGUCUGAUGCAGAUGGAGGUGAUAUGGGUUCAUACAGGGGAUGUGGUACAAACAAAUACUGAAUUUGACUUACAGGUUGAGAGGAUAGAGGAGGUGGAAUAUGGACAGGAGAUGGUGAAGAAUGGAGUGGUGGUGGAGGAGAAAUGUGGCUGGAGUGGUGGGAGGGAGCAUGAAGCUCUUUUGAGGAUGACAUAGGAGAAGUUGUAGAAAAGGGGGAUGAAUGAGGAAUGAAUGAGACAGGAACUGAGACAGGACAGCAUGAAAUCAGAGGAGGGGUGUGGCACGAGUAGGCUGUAUUUAGAGGAUUAGGAGUUUCAUCUAGAAAAAAACCCACAAAAAUAGGGAACAAUUAAGAUGCUGUUAACUCCUUCCAAGUUUAAAAAAAAAAAAAAAAAAAAGUCUCUUUUCGGUAUGUUCACAAUGGCUAGUCCUGGAAUGAUCUUACCUGGAACUAAACGAUUCUCCAGCAGGGGGGAUUUCUCCUGCUGCAAAGAGUUGGUAAUUGCAGCAGGACAUAUGUGAUCCCCAGAACUGAUGCAUGUACCUAAAAGACAACAGAAUACAAUCCUUAAUUACACUACAACAGAGCUUCAACAGGAGCUUCACACUAACAACAGCAAGUAAAGUUAAAUGAUAACAUCCUAGUGGUAACGGAAUACUUUAUGGACAACUCCAUAGUAUUGAGAAGUUGUUGAGCUAGAGAACACAUGAUAGGCAGUAGUGACCAACUGGUUGAGGUGUUGAGUUUCUCCAUAUUGUUGUAUUUUAAACUCAUAUCAGGCAGUGUGAUCAUCUGAAUUGUGUUUUAUUUCCCUCUGUUGUGGGUUAAAGUAUAAUAUACCACAAUGGAGUUAAUAGAGAAUUGUCUUUACAAAGCUUUAAUAUGCAACCACCCUAACAGAAAACGAGGACAUUGGCACACACAAACAGC
Molecule: long non-coding RNA, 6311 nt
Organism: Ictalurus punctatus (channel catfish)
Lineage: Eukaryota; Metazoa; Chordata; Actinopteri; Siluriformes; Ictaluridae
Source: Ensembl